CCUCCGCUAAUCCUCCUGCAGCACCCGCUAACCCUAGCCUUGCUUUGCCUACCCACCGAGCCUUGCUUUUCCAUGGUCCUGAAGCGGCCGCGUUCGCAUGCCGCAAAUCCCCUUCUCGUCUAGAUCUGGAUCCAAACUACUUUCGUUUGUCCACGCUGAUCUCGUCUGGAUCUAUAUUGUUCCGAUUGAGGAGACGAGGAACGGUGAAUCUCUUAUCUUCUGUUGGGUAUCUAUUCGAAACGCGUGGGUUUGUUUUGUGAUGUGCCGGUUCCAUCCGAUUAAUUGAUGAGUUGCGCGUGCGCUGACUCGGAUCGAGAUGAGGCUGCGUCCACGUGCUCGGUGGCUACGGAUCCUCGUUUGGGCGCGUCGGUUCUGAUGUUGAGCAGGGACGUUUGGGAGGGAUUGGAUCUUCUUGGCGGAUUCGGAGGCAUCGAAACGUCGCCGCGGCGUGGCCGGAUCCUGGAUCUGCUCCCAACUCGCGUGAUGAUGUCUCUUCGUAUUGAUAAUUAUUGGAUUGAACUUCGAUAAUUAUUAGAUCUAAGAGAUGGUGCUCGGAGCGAUCCGUGCCCAACUGAAGCCGAGGUAAGCUACACGCAUGUAACCACCGAGUUGCGUUCGUGUGGAGUUUGGAGGAGAAAAAAAAAGAUGUGAAAAAAAACAGAGAGAUGUGACAUCUUGAAGGCCUUUGCCAUGAUGGGUGCGCUCGCAUGGCAGGCCAUCGUAAUAAAGAUGUUGAUUUUGUGCCUUGGGUGGGAGAUCGCACGGGGGAGCUUUAUUUUAUCCCCCGGGUUCUCCCUCCCUUUUGUGUCCCUGUGCCCUGCUUCUUAUUGUUGGCUGCACGUCUUUCCGAUACACCUCUUGGCAUGCUACAAAUUGGCAAGGAGCUACAGCGCAACACGCAAGGUACAAUUGUAAUUCGAAAUUUACAAUCUGAAGUUGCAAUAUACAGACUAGAUGAAUUUAUUGACAUCGAUAACUUCAGGCUAAGUAAUGCUUUAAUUUUAACACAUGCAAUGCCUGUCCAUGCUUUCGUUUGUGUUAAAGUUGCACCGCACUAUGGGCCAUGCAUGGGAAGGCGUAUCACGUUUUCAGUUGGCUUGCAAUAUAACGUUUUCAUUUGCAUACAUUAAAGCUAGCUCAUUCCUAAGAAUCUCAAAGUGAGUGGUGGCAGACUUUCCAAAGAAGUUUGUACUAGAUGAAAAAUUAAGGGCAAAGAACCUAUUUUCAAUUUAAAAUCUUUUAUGAUGGAUAUUUUCAGUAGUUGGAGAUUGGCAUCUAGUGAUCAUACUCUUGUGAAAAUGAACUAAACUUGGUCAGCUUUUCAUCAAUUUAUAUUGCGUUAUAAGAACACGAACACAUCAUAAUCAACUAGCUGUUCAAAUGUACAUCUGAUGAAAUUUCUAGCAACGCCCCAUGGAAAUCGUGCUGACAAUGACAGUAACUUACAAUUUCCAACUGCUGAUCGAACCGAUGUUUUUUAUUUAUUUCAAUUGUCAAGCUUUUGUUAUCAGUUCUUAUCUACUGCAUAAUUUGUAUUACAAGUUCAUUAUGUGGUAUUUUUUCAAGUGGUUAUUUUUCAAGCUAAGCUGUAUUUAUCCAAGAAUGAUCAAAUAUUACAAGGUAGAUGUACUGUUUCCUGCUGUAUCAUUUCGUACACAAGUUGCCUCAUGGCAAUUAUCAGUUCAUUGUAAUCAGCUUGUGUGAGCGUGGUAUUGUCUCGCCUUAUAAGCUGUAUUAAGAUCUUCAUGGUGGUAUUGAAAUGAGCAAGGAUGUGGUGGUCUUGAGCUCUGCGCUGGUUAUUGCUGAAGCUUCUUCUGUGCUGAAAGGCUCCUGCUGUUCUUGCCCCCUGAAGCUUUUGUGCUGAAAGGUUCCUGUUGUUCCUGCUCCUGGCGUUCGGCAGUUCACAGAUGCAGUUUGAGCACAAUAUGUAUUUCCACUUCUGCAGCGGGCUCAUUGGCCUCCUGGCUGGUGAUAUGAUCGGUAGUCUAUUCCUCGAAUUAUUGCUGAAGAUCACUGCAGUUCUGCCAUGAAGGUCGUUGCUGAGGGUUACUACUGUUCUCCUGUUCUUGAUCAUUCUGCACUUAAAAUCCUGUUUGGGCGUAAGAAACAUUACGCUGCUGGAGCAUUGGCUGCUUGGCAGGCUUGAAGAUGGUUGCUAUGUGAACUACCAAUUUAGAAACUGAGACUCAAUAUUAAGUUAAUUUCAUCAUUCUUAUGAGGUGGUUGAGCUGUAAAAUUUGUUCGUACAAGUUGCCAGCUCUGUUGUCUGCAAAUAUUGGAGCUGUCGUCUGCAAAUUAUGGAUGCUGGAUCAGAUCGACGCUGUAUGAAGGUAUUUAACAUCAUUUUCACUGUUAUAUGA
Panicum virgatum (switchgrass) is the source of this 2360-nucleotide long non-coding RNA. RefSeq lists it as uncharacterized. Lineage: Eukaryota; Viridiplantae; Streptophyta; Magnoliopsida; Poales; Poaceae. The record is from RefSeq and is a predicted model, not a curated record. The transcript is spliced from 2 exons.